Molecule: ribosomal RNA, 611 nt
Filed under: Williamsia sp.
Lineage: Bacteria; Bacillati; Actinomycetota; Actinomycetes; Mycobacteriales; Nocardiaceae
Description: bacterial SSU rRNA
Rfam family: Bacterial small subunit ribosomal RNA
Source: RNAcentral
AGGCAGCAGUGGGGAAUAUUGCACAAUGGGCGCAAGCCUGAUGCAGCGACGCCGCGUGAGGGAUGACGGCCUUCGGGUUGUAAACCUCUUUCACCAGGGACGAAGCGAAAGUGACGGUACCUGGAGAAGAAGCACCGGCCAACUACGUGCCAGCAGCCGCGGUAAUACGUAGGGUGCGAGCGUUGUCCGGAAUUACUGGGCGUAAAGAGUUCGUAGGCGGUUUGUCGCGUCGUUCGUGAAAACUUGGGGCUUAACUCCAAGCGUGCGGGCGAUACGGGCAGACUUGAGUACUACAGGGGAGACUGGAAUUCCUGGUGUAGCGGUGAAAUGCGCAGAUAUCAGGAGGAACACCGGUGGCGAAGGCGGGUCUCUGGGUAGUAACUGACGCUGAGGAACGAAAGCGUGGGUAGCGAACAGGAUUAGAUACCCUGGUAGUCCACGCUGUAAACGGUGGGUACUAGGUGUGGGUUCCUUUUCACGGGAUCCGUGCCGUAGCUAACGCAUUAAGUACCCCGCCUGGGGAGUACGGCCGCAAGGCUAAAACUCAAAGGAAUUGACGGGGGCCCGCACAAGCGGCGGAGCAUGUGGAUUAAUUCGAUGCAACGCGAAGA